AAGCUCGUAGUUGAAUUUCGGGGUUCUACCGUUGGUCGGGCUAACCAGUCUGUACUAGCGUGUAGAAUUCCUACCUUCUGGGGAACCAUCAUGUUAUUAAUUUAGCGUGGUGGGAAACCAGGACCUUUACCUUGAAAAAAUUAGAGUGUUCAAAGCAGGCUUACGUCUGAAUACAUUAGCAUGGAAUAAUAAAAUAGGACGGUGGUCCUGUUUUGUUGGUUUCUGAAUCACCGUAAUGAUUAAUAGGGAUAUUGGG
Molecule: ribosomal RNA, 256 nt
Filed under: uncultured Scutellospora
Lineage: Eukaryota; Fungi; Glomeromycota; Glomeromycetes; Diversisporales; Gigasporaceae
Description: partial 18S ribosomal RNA
Rfam family: Eukaryotic small subunit ribosomal RNA
Source: RNAcentral